Molecule: transfer RNA, 66 nt
Filed under: Tapeinus singularis
Lineage: Eukaryota; Metazoa; Arthropoda; Insecta; Hemiptera; Reduviidae
Description: tRNA-Tyr
Source: RNAcentral
GAUAAGGUGGCUGAAGAUUAGGCGGUAAAUUGUAAAUUUAUUCAUGGUUUAAAAGACCCUUUGUCA